RNAcentral lists this ribosomal RNA (253 nucleotides) under uncultured bacterium. RNAcentral describes it as "partial 16S ribosomal RNA". It matches the Rfam family "Bacterial small subunit ribosomal RNA", at positions 524 to 776 of the family's 1533-position model. The record is from RNAcentral.
UACGGAGGAUCCAAGCGUUAUCCGGAAUCAUUGGGCUUAAAGGGUCCGUAGGCGGUUUGGUAAGUCAGUGGUGAAAGCCCAUCGCUCAACGGUGGAACGGCCAUUGAUACUGCCAGACUUGAAUUAUUAGGAAGUAACUAGAAUAUGUAGUGUAGCGGUGAAAUGCUUAGAGAUUACAUGGAAUACCAAUUGCGAAGGCAGGUUACUACUAAUGGAUUGACGCUGAUGGACGAAAGCGUGGGUAGCGAACAGG